UUCCCUGUAGCUUAGUUGGUAGAGCAUGGUGUUUGCAACGCCAGGAUGGGUUCGAUUCCCACGGGGGGC
Molecule: transfer RNA, 69 nt
Filed under: Salmo salar (Atlantic salmon)
Lineage: Eukaryota; Metazoa; Chordata; Actinopteri; Salmoniformes; Salmonidae
Rfam family: tRNA
About the family: Transfer RNA (tRNA) molecules are approximately 80 nucleotides in length.
Source: Rfam by way of RNAcentral